Molecule: non-coding RNA, 471 nt
Organism: Oryctolagus cuniculus (rabbit)
Lineage: Eukaryota; Metazoa; Chordata; Mammalia; Lagomorpha; Leporidae
Source: RefSeq, a predicted model, not a curated record
UGAUAUUUCCAGUUGGGCCCCUGGAAAUAUCAAAGGAUAUAUCUCUCAUCUUGUAGAUAUACCAACUAAUAAGGCUAUUUGGAUUAUGUUAAAGGAAGAAGAGGAAUCUAGGCUGCAGAAGCAAUGUAAAGAUAGGUGGCAGGCCAGUUAAUGGCUGCUUUACACAGUGAUCUGCCUUCAAGGAGACCCAGUCUACUGCAUUGGUUUUCGAUGUGGAAAGCCAGGGCUUCAGCAAAUUCAGCUUAUGAAGAGUCCCUGCAGAAUUGCCAGCCAAGAGUUGGGUCAUGGAAACGGACCUACCCUGGAGACAAAGGGCUCCAGGUCAGAGCCACAGACCCUGUUCACUCGAAGCUGAAAAGCCCUUCACUCGGCCCAGCUUCCAAACUAACAACUGCAUUCGAGGAGAUGGCUAAGCAGGGUGAAUAACGCUGCAGGCAGAACUGUAUAUUAAAAAUGUUCUCCUUUUAGAAA